AGCGAACGCUGGCGGCAGGCUUAACACAUGCCAGUCGAGCGGGCAUCUUCGGAUGUCAGCGGCAGACGGGUGAGUAACACGUGGGAACGUACCCUUCGGUUCGGAACAACUCUGGGAAACUGGAGCUAAUACCGGAUACGCCCUUAUGGGGAAAGGUUUACUGCCGAAGGAUCGGCCCGCGUCUGAUUAGCUAGUUGGUGGGGUAACGGCCUACCAAGGCGACGAUCAGUAGCUGGUCUGAGAGGAUGAUCAGCCACACUGGGACUGAGACACGGCCCAGACUCCUACGGGAGGCAGCAGUGGGGAAUAUUGGAUAAUGGGCGCAAGCCUGAUCCAGCCAUGCCGCGUGAGUGAUGAAGGCCUUAGGGUUGUAAAGCUCUUUUGUCCGGGACGAUAAUGACGGUACCAGAAGAAUAAGCCCCGGCUAACUUCGUG
RNAcentral lists this ribosomal RNA (435 nucleotides) under uncultured bacterium. RNAcentral describes it as "partial 16S ribosomal RNA". It matches the Rfam family "Bacterial small subunit ribosomal RNA", at positions 29 to 507 of the family's 1533-position model. The record is from RNAcentral.